UACGUAGUGUGCGAGCGUUGUCCGGAAUUAUUGGGCGUAAAGAGCUCGUAGGCGGUUUGUCGCGUCUGCUGUGAAAUCCCGGAGCUUAACUCCGGGCCUGCAGUGGGUACGGGCAGACUUGAGUGCGGUAGGGGAGAUUGGAAUUCCUGGUGUAGCGGUGGAAUGCGCAGAUAUCAGGAGGAACACCGAUGGCGAAGGCAGAUCUCUGGGCCGUAACUGACGCUGAGGAGCGAAAGCAUGGGGAGCGAACAGG
Molecule: ribosomal RNA, 253 nt
Filed under: uncultured bacterium
Lineage: Bacteria
Description: partial 16S ribosomal RNA
Rfam family: Bacterial small subunit ribosomal RNA
Source: RNAcentral